GACGAACGCUGGCGGCGUGCUUAACACAUGCAAGUCGAGCGGUAAGGCCCUUUCGGGGGUACACGAGCGGCGAACGGGUGAGUAACGACGUGGGUGACCUGCCCUCAGCUCUGGGAUAAGCCUGGGAAACCGGGUCUAAUACUGGAUAUGACUCCAUGACGCAUGUUGUGGGGUGGAAAGCCUUGUGCGGCUGAGGAUGGGCCCGCGGCCUAUCAGCUUGUUGGUGGGUGAU
RNAcentral lists this ribosomal RNA (232 nucleotides) under uncultured bacterium. Its description in RNAcentral is "partial 16S ribosomal RNA". It matches the Rfam family "Bacterial small subunit ribosomal RNA", at positions 28 to 260 of the family's 1533-position model. The record is from RNAcentral.